ACCUCGUUAAUAUUNAGUCGGUAGAACGGCGGACUGUUAAUCCGUAUGUCACUGGUUCGAGUCCAGUCAGAGGAGCCA
Molecule: transfer RNA, 78 nt
Filed under: Salmonella enterica
Lineage: Bacteria; Pseudomonadati; Pseudomonadota; Gammaproteobacteria; Enterobacterales; Enterobacteriaceae
Description: tRNA-Asn
Rfam family: tRNA (bases 12-67)
About the family: Transfer RNA (tRNA) molecules are approximately 80 nucleotides in length.
Source: RNAcentral